GGAUGUGAGGGCGAUCUGGCUGCGACAUGUCACCCCAUUGAUCGCCAGGGUUGAUUCGGCUGAUCUGGCUGGCUAGGCAGGUGUCCCCUUCCUCCCUCAACGAUCCAUGUGCGUCCCUCCCAAAAUUCUAACACUGAAACAUUCUAAAAUUUAAAAGAUUUGAGAGCACUGACAUAAGUAGCAAGUAGAAACUGCCCACCUGACCUCCUGCAACGGUUGCCAUCAAGGUACAGGUGUGCAAAAUGGUGCCUUCCACAGCCCCAAAGCACAUGGGUACAGGGGCGCAGGCCUGUAAUUCCAGGUAC
Molecule: small RNA, 305 nt
Filed under: Octodon degus (degu)
Lineage: Eukaryota; Metazoa; Chordata; Mammalia; Rodentia; Octodontidae
Description: 7SK RNA (ENSODEG00000024711.1)
Rfam family: 7SK RNA (bases 1-166)
About the family: 7SK was discovered as an abundant small nuclear RNA in the mid-70s but a possible function has only recently been suggested. Two independent studies have found that 7SK RNA binds the CDK9/cyclin T complex (known as elongation factor P-TEFb).
Source: RNAcentral